GUGUGCGAUCAUAUUAAUACGUAUGCAUCGGAUCCCAUCAGAACUUCGAAGUUAAGCGUGCUUGUGAUAGAAUGGUACUAAGACGAGCUUUGUCACAGGAC
This 101-nucleotide ribosomal RNA is filed under the name Cephalotus follicularis. Lineage: Eukaryota; Viridiplantae; Streptophyta; Magnoliopsida; Oxalidales; Cephalotaceae. The record is from RNAcentral.